This 1979-nucleotide ribosomal RNA is filed under the name marine metagenome. RNAcentral describes it as "bacterial LSU rRNA". It matches the Rfam family "Bacterial large subunit ribosomal RNA", at positions 919 to 2925 of the family's 2925-position model. The record is from RNAcentral.
UGCGGGCUGCGAAAGCGGUACCAAUCUGUUGCAAACUCGGAAUACCUAGAACGCUUUCAAUCGGCCAGUGAGACUGCGGGGGAUAAGCUCCGUAGUCAAGAGGGAAACAGCCCAGACCACCAGCUAAGGCUCCUAAAUAAAAGCUAAGUGGCAAAGGAGGUGAAAAUGCAGUGACAAUCAGGAGGUUUGCCUAGAAGCAGCCACCCUUUAAAGAGGGCGUAAUAGCUCACUGAUCAAGCGUUUUCGCGCCGAAAAUGACCGGAACUAAGCUUUUUGCCGAAGCUGUGGCUACAUCACAUAGAUGAUGUAGGGUAGAGGAGCGUUCCGCCCAGGGGGAAGCCAAGCGCGUAAGCCGCGGUGGACAGGGCGGAAGUGAGAAUGUCAGCUUGAGUAACGUAAACAUUGGUGAGAAUCCAGUGCCCCGAAAACUCAAGGGUUCCUGCGCAAGGCUCGUCCGCGCAGGGUCAGUCAGGACCUAAGGUGAGGCCGAAAGGCGUAAUUGAUGGCAAGAAGGUUUAUAUUCCUUCACUAGUCUAGGCUUAGUCCUGAGGGACGAACAAAUAACACUCUACACAAUUGCCAUGCUUGGCAGCAUGGAACAAACGGUUGCUGUAUGAUGGUAUUUUUUCCAAGAAAAGCUCAUUCGACUUCGAGUCUAGACUACCUGUACCGUAAACCGACACAGGUGAGUGGGUUGAAUAAACUAAGGGGAGCGAGAUAACUCUCUCUAAGGAACUCGGCAAAUUGGCUCUGUACCUUCGGAAGAAAGAGUGCCCCUCAGGGGGCCGCAGUGAAGAGAUCCAGGCGACUGUUUACCAAAAACACAGGUCUCCGCAAAGUCGUAAGACGACGUAUGGGGGCUGACACCUGCCCAGUGCCAGAAGGUUAAAGAAGUUGGUCAAUCUUUGAUGAAGCUAACAACUGAAGCCCUGGUGAACGGCGGCCGUAACUAUAACUGUCCUAAGGUAGCGAAAUUCCUUGUCGGGUAAGUUCCGACCCGCACGAAAGGUGUAACGAUCUGGAUACUGUCUCAGAGAGAGACUCGGUGAAAUAAAACUAGCUGUGAAGAUGCGGCUUACCUGCACACGGACAGAAAGACCCUAUGAAGCUUUACUGUAACCUGGAAUUGCUCUCAAGCUUAUCUUGCGCAGCUUAGGUGGGAGGCUAUGAACCUUUUCUUCUGGGAAAAGGGGAGCCAUCAGUGAGAUACCACUCUUGGUAAGCUAGAGCGCUCAGUCUUCACCGUCAUCCGGUAAGACGACAGUUUCAGGCGGGCAGUUUGACUGGGGCAGUCACCUCCCAAAAGGUAAUGGAGGUGUGCAAAGGUUCCCUCAGGCUGGACGGAAAUCAGCCAUAGAGUGUAAAAGCAAAAGGGAGCUUGACUGCGAGACUGACAUGUCAAGCAGAGACGAAAGUCGGCUUUAGUGAUCCGACGGUGCUGUGUGGAAAGGCCGUCGCUCAACGGAUAAAAGUUACUCUAGGGAUAACAGGCUAAUCUCCCCCAAGAGUUCACAUCGACGGGGAGGUUUGGCACCUCGAUGUCGGCUCGUCGCAUCCUGGAGCGGAAGUACGUUCCAAGGGUUGGGCUGUUCGCCCAUAGAAAGCGGCACGCGAGCUGGGUUCAGAACGUCGUGAGACAGUUUGGUCCAUAUCCUGUGUAGGCGUUUAGAGCAUUGAAAGGAUCUCCCCUUUGUACGAGAGGACCAGGUGGGGACAGACCGCUAGUGUACCAGUUAUUCCGCCAGGGGUAAACGCUGGGUAGCUAUGUCUGGAGCAAAUAACUGCUGAAAGCAUAUAAGUAGGAAGUUCACCUUAAGAUGAGUGCUCUUUUGUCUCAAGCGUCCAUCCUUCAACGAAGUGAUGACAAAUGAAAGACAAGGAAGGUCACGGCAAGACGAGCCGUUUGAUAGGCAUGAAGUAGAAGUGCAGUAAUGCAUUCUGAAGCUGACAUGUGCUAAUAGACCGAGGGAUUUGAUUUU